AUUGAACGCUGGCGGCAUGCUUUACACAUGCAAGUCGAACGGUAGAGGGGGCAACCCCUUGAGAGUGGCGAACGGGUGAGUAAUGCAUCGGAACGUGCCCAGUCGUGGGGGAUAACGCAGCGAAAGCUGUGCUAAUACCGCAUACGAUCUCUGGAUGAAAGCGGGGGACCGAAAGGCCUCGCGCGAUUGGAGCGGCCGAUGUCAGAUUAGGUAGUUGGUGGGGUAAAGGCCUACCAAGCCAACGAUCUGUAGCUGGUCUGAGAGGACGACCAGCCACACUGGGGCUGAGACACGGCCCAGACUCCUACGGGAGGCAGCAGUGGGGAAUUUUGGACAAUGGGCGCAAGCCUGAUCCAGCAAUGCCGCGUGCAGGAAGAAGGCCUUCGGGUUGUAAACUGCUUUUGUACGGAACGAAACGGUCUGGGUUAAUACCCUGGGCUAAUGACGGUACCGUAAGAAUAAGCACCGGCUAACUACGUGCCAGCCGCCGCUGUAA
This 496-nucleotide ribosomal RNA is filed under the name uncultured bacterium. RNAcentral's name for it is "partial 16S ribosomal RNA". It matches the Rfam family "Bacterial small subunit ribosomal RNA", at positions 30 to 523 of the family's 1533-position model. The record is from RNAcentral.